This 89-nucleotide transfer RNA is filed under the name Pseudomonadota bacterium. RNAcentral describes it as "tRNA-Leu". It matches the Rfam family "tRNA". From Rfam's summary of the family: Transfer RNA (tRNA) molecules are approximately 80 nucleotides in length. Their secondary structure includes four short double-helical elements and three loops (D, anti-codon, and T loops). Further hydrogen bonds mediate the characteristic L-shaped molecular structure. tRNAs have two regions of fundamental functional importance: the anti-codon, which is responsible for specific mRNA codon recognition, and the 3' end, to which the tRNAs corresponding amino acid is attached (by aminoacyl-tRNA synthetases). tRNAs cope with the degeneracy of the genetic code in two manners: having more than one tRNA (with a specific anti-codon) for a particular amino acid; and 'wobble' base-pairing, i.e. permitting non-standard base-pairing at the 3rd anti-codon position. The record is from RNAcentral. Lineage: Bacteria; Pseudomonadati; Pseudomonadota. RNAcentral also lists the same sequence under 1 other name.
GCCGGGAUGGUGGAAUCGGUAGACGCGCCGGACUCAAAAUCCGGUGGGGGCCAACCCCCGUGCGGGUUCGAGUCCCGCUCCCGGCACCA